Fukomys damarensis (Damara mole-rat) is the source of this 332-nucleotide long non-coding RNA. RefSeq lists it as uncharacterized. Lineage: Eukaryota; Metazoa; Chordata; Mammalia; Rodentia; Bathyergidae. The transcript has 3 exons. The record is from RefSeq and is a predicted model, not a curated record.
GCAGCGCGGAGCUCUGGCUGGUUGAAGGAGCUCGCUAGCCCAGCGGUGAGAGCAGUCCUAGGUGCCCGUGUGUUUCUACACGUCACCUCGGCAGAUCAUCACCUCACAUGGGCCAGCCAGGCAUCUCUGAGUCAGAGUCUCCUUCCCAGCAGCAAGAUGCCACCAAGCCGCCCUUGCCCUGGGCAUUUAUCAUUUGAGGACCGCAGCCUCCUCCUGUGAGGUGAGAGUCUCUCCCCAAAGUGCUGGGUGACAGAGUGCAUUUGAUAUAGGGUAGCAAGUUACCCCAAAAUGGUAUCCAAAUAAGCAAAAAUGAUCCAAACAAGAGAACUAUU